This 443-nucleotide ribosomal RNA is filed under the name uncultured bacterium. RNAcentral's name for it is "bacterial SSU rRNA". It matches the Rfam family "Bacterial small subunit ribosomal RNA", at positions 66 to 505 of the family's 1533-position model. The record is from RNAcentral.
GCAGCGCGGGGAGCUUGCUCCCUGGCGGCGAGUGGCGCACGGGUGAGUAAUACAUCGGAACGUGUCUUCUAGUGGGGGAUAACUGCCCGAAAGGGCAGCUAAUACCGCAUGAGACCUGAGGGUGAAAGCGGGGGAUCGCAAGACCUCGCGCUGGAAGAGCGGCCGAUGUCCGAUUAGCUAGUUGGUGAGGUAAAGGCUCACCAAGGCGACGAUCGGUAGCUGGUCUGAGAGGACGACCAGCCACACUGGGACUGAGACACGGCCCAGACUCCUACGGGAGGCAGCAGUGGGGAAUUUUGGACAAUGGGGGCAACCCUGAUCCAGCCAUGCCGCGUGCAGGAUGAAGGUCUUCGGAUUGUAAACUGCUUUUGUCAGGGACGAAAAGGGAUGCGAUAACACCGCAUUCCGCUGACGGUACCUGAAGAAUAGCACCGGCUACUCUG